CCUACGGGAGGCAGCAGUGAGGAAUAUUGGUCAAUGGGCGCGACCCUGAACCAGCCACGCCGCGUGGGGGAUGACGGUUUUCCGAUUGUAAACUCCUUUUUUUAGAGGAGCUACUGGCGCUAUCUAACGCAUCACCACCGGCUAACUCAGUGCCAGCAGCCGCUGUCAGACGGCCGGUGCCAGCGUUACUCGGAAUCACUGGGCGUAAGUGGCGCGUAGGCGGGAGAGCAAGUCAGAUGUGAAAUCCGAUGGCUUAAACAUAGAACUGCAUUUGAAACUGGCAUUCUAGAGUAGAGGAGAGGUAGGUGGAAUGCGUGGUGUAGGGGUAAAAUGCGUAGAGAUCAAGAGGAAUACUCAUUGCGAAGGCGACAUGCUAGAAUACAACUGACGCUGAUGCGCGAAAGCGUGGGGAGCAAACAGGAUUAGAUACCCGAGUAGUC
RNAcentral lists this ribosomal RNA (440 nucleotides) under uncultured bacterium. RNAcentral describes it as "partial 16S ribosomal RNA". It matches the Rfam family "Bacterial small subunit ribosomal RNA", at positions 338 to 795 of the family's 1533-position model. The record is from RNAcentral.